Molecule: ribosomal RNA, 434 nt
Filed under: uncultured bacterium
Lineage: Bacteria
Description: partial 16S ribosomal RNA
Rfam family: Bacterial small subunit ribosomal RNA
Source: RNAcentral
AGCGAACGCUGGCGGCAGGCCUAACACAUGCAAGUCGAACGAACCUUUCGGGGUUAGUGGCGGACGGGUGAGUAACACGUGGGAACGUGCCUUUAGGUUCGGAAUAACUCAGGGAAACUUGUGCUAAUACCGAAUGUGCCCUUCGGGGGAAAGAUUAAUCGCCUUUAGAGCGGCCCGCGUCUGAUUAGCUAGUUGGUUGAGGUAUUGGCUCACCAAGGCGACGAUCAGUAGCUGGUCUGAGAGGAUGAUCAGCCACAUUGGGACUGAGACACGGCCCAAACUCCUACGGGAGGCAGCAGUGGGGAAUCUUGCGCAAUGGGCGAAAGCCUGACGCAGCCAUGCCGCGUGAAUGAUGAAGGUCUUAGGAUUGUAAAAUUCUUUCACCGGGGACGAUAAUGACGGUACCCGGAGAAGAAGCCCCGGCUAACUUCGUG